UGUUUUGUUGCGUGUUUGACCCCUCUUCGGAGCGCGUGUCUUCACGCACAAUUACUUUGGCGUCUGAAAGCAACGAACGUGACCGUAACCUCUUGUUGCCUUCUCUUCUCCUCGGAGAAUGCUGUUUGUUUUUGCAGGCAGUAUAUGGAGGCUUUUUUACUCAACAACUAGAGGGACCGCUGUUUCUUUCUUUAAACCAGAGGAAGGAUACGGCAAUAACAGGUCUGUGAUGCCCUUAGAUGUUCCGGGCUGCACACGUGAUACAUUGAUUACUUCAGUGAGUAUCUACGUUUUACUGCGUGGCAUUGCAAUGCAUAUUUCUUCGGAAGUGUGUUUUUGUUUGCCGCCUCAACCUGCUUCGAAAGCAUGCGGGUAACCAAUUAGAAGUAGUGAUUUCCUUUUUUUAUAAGCACACUAAUAUGGGGCAUCAUCACCCGGCAUGCAUUGUUGUAUGUUUUGUGUGUGGUGUUUGCUUUUCCAUGUGCUUUUGUCAAUUCAUAGUGGGGAUAGACCAUUGUUAAUUGUUGGUCUCGGUCUUAACUAGGAAUGCCUUGUACGAGUUUUUGGUUCAACAAACCACUCGGAAUACGUCCCUGCCCUUUGUACACACCGCCCGUCGCUCUUACCGAUGGAUUAUAUUAUGAGUCGGCAGGACCGUUUAGGAAAUGUUCGCGAAUAA
RNAcentral lists this ribosomal RNA (679 nucleotides) under Elphidium sp. S3. Its description in RNAcentral is "partial small subunit ribosomal RNA". It matches the Rfam family "Eukaryotic small subunit ribosomal RNA", at positions 1312 to 1766 of the family's 1831-position model. The record is from RNAcentral. Lineage: Eukaryota; Foraminifera; Rotaliida; Elphidiidae.